Molecule: ribosomal RNA, 198 nt
Filed under: Triticum aestivum (bread wheat)
Lineage: Eukaryota; Viridiplantae; Streptophyta; Magnoliopsida; Poales; Poaceae
Description: partial small subunit ribosomal RNA
Source: RNAcentral
AUGACGGUGACGCUCCAGGAUAUUGCUAUGAUCACCGGUCUUCCUAUCGAGGGUAAUCCUCUAUGUAUGAGCACCGAUUCUGAUGGGUGGCGCGAGCAGAUGCAUGCCCUUAUCGGUAUGGUUCCUCCGGAGGCUCGGCAACCAGAAGCAGAAGAAAAGAAGAAGGAAAGAGUUGCAGCCAAAGACUAUGUUUGCUGA